This 943-nucleotide long non-coding RNA is filed under the name Daphnia pulicaria. RNAcentral's name for it is "uncharacterized LOC124338372, transcript variant X4". The record is from RNAcentral. Lineage: Eukaryota; Metazoa; Arthropoda; Branchiopoda; Diplostraca; Daphniidae.
AACAAACAAAAUCUCACACGCCACUUACGUACGAACGCAAAAGUUAUGCAAGCAUAAAGCCAGUACGUAGUAUAUUUGUAUUUACUUGUUGAACCUGUGUUAUCAAUCGCAGAUGGAAUACGACCAGCAACUGCAAUUUGUCAGUGACGUUUUCAAAAUGCUGAAAAUGUGGAAUAGUGGGUCAAGGUUGGAAAGAUAAGGAAACUAUACAAAUGUAACAGAAGGUCUUGCCACAUUUGCAUCACAGAUGCCAUGCAUGUCUUAUGGCUACUUAAAGAAAGAUAUGCAGGUAUAGAUGUGUCGAAUACUCGAAUCGACGCAGAUAGAAAAAACAUCAACGUCGCCAUGUAAAAGUCUGGCAAAGUUUUUUCGCGCCUUCGAUCAUAUAUUGAUUAGCUAAAUUCAAUCGUCUGACAAACAGAUGACGAGACCUACAUCUUCUAGCGGCAGCAUAUGUCGGGUACAAUGACGAAACCCGAAGACCAAUUCCUUGUUAGUCUCCAUUUGUUUUGUGUUGUGUCUCAAGGACAAAAGGAACAAAAUCAAGUGCCCUGUCAGCCGAAAAGUGCACUCGGGAGGUAUUUCCACAUUGACAGACAGAUACCAAUCGCUGAAGCUAAAUGGAGAAGAACACAGCCGAGAUGGAACUUUGUCUGGAAAGUGAAGGCCACCCAAAGCAGAAGUUCACGAGGAGGCAUUCAAUCUGGAAGGUUAGAUUGCAAGUAUCUGCUGGAUGGAUGCUGGCGUGUAUAAAUAAGAGGACAGGCGACUCUAUUCAUCAGUUGAAUUUCAGUUGAAUCGACAGCAGCACCAAGUUGUUUCUUUCGUGUAGUUUUUACAAAGCGCUUGAAGAUGGUUUACUGCUACAUUCUGGUGAGAGUGCAUCAACAAUUGUAGAAUCAGUCAGUAAUUGAAAUGGUAAUUAAUCGUUCGUACUUGUUUG